This 115-nucleotide ribosomal RNA is filed under the name uncultured bacterium. RNAcentral describes it as "partial 16S ribosomal RNA". It matches the Rfam family "Bacterial small subunit ribosomal RNA", at positions 1358 to 1482 of the family's 1533-position model. The record is from RNAcentral.
CGCGGUGAAUACGUUCCCGGACCUUGUACACACCGCCCGUCAAGCCAUGGAAGCUGGGUGUACCUAAAGUCGGUAACCGCAAGGAGCCGCCUAGGGUAAACUAGUAACUGGGGCU